Long non-coding RNA from Eubalaena glacialis (North Atlantic right whale), 1246 nucleotides. RefSeq lists it as uncharacterized. Lineage: Eukaryota; Metazoa; Chordata; Mammalia; Artiodactyla; Balaenidae. The transcript has 4 exons. The record is from RefSeq and is a predicted model, not a curated record.
CGUCCCGGCCAGAGCGCACCUGGCGCGGGGCGUCCUCGGGGCUUCUCGCCGUCGGCCGCCGGCGACCCGGCGCGGGUCUAGGGAGCCAGCGCGCGGCGGCCGGGAACGACCCCUCCCGUGGGUCCCUGGCACCCCAGCGGCAUCCGAGCGCGGAGCGGAGGGCCACGGACCGCGGGUGGCCUUGGCCUGCAGCAGCUUGAAGCAGGAUUUCGGUUCCCAGCCAGAGACUGAAGUCAGGCUGCGGCAGCGAGAGUGUUACCAAGUCCAGGCCCGCUCUGCUCAUCGCACGACGGGCCAAUAAAUCGGAGACCAGGUGCUGAGGUCAUCCAGAGGACCCAAGACAUGGUGACUACUAAUAUACUCUUUCCACAGUGCUUUUUAAUACCAUGUGGAGUCCUAUAAGGGCAAUUAGCAUUACAACUUUGGCUGAACUUGGUCUGGAUUACAUUCUGUGAUGCUCCAAGGACAGUGGUGCUCCAAGGACAAAGGACGACCCUGCCUGAAAAAGUUUCAGCCUUUCACCCCCUACCGGUCUCUUAAUUGCCCUCCCUACCAUGUUGUGAUGGUUAUGAAAUUCCUGAGCCCACCUGGGUGACAGGACCUGUCCCAAAUAAGGAAAGGAAUCUGCCCUGUCCCACUUGCACAUAGAAGGAAGGUAUAUGUGCCUCGACCAAUCAGUAAACAAAAUUUUCACCUUGGACCAUUCCUUUGUUUUCUGGCUGUAAAAACUGAUCAGUGUUCAGGCUUGUCUUGGUGGCAAGCUGGGGAAAAUCAUAGGAGAAGAUCCCAGGCCUGUUGUCUGUCAGCUUGGGAAUGAUGUUUGAACAGUGGCCAAUGUGCUUGGGUGCAGGUUGUGCGGGAAUAAUGAUACCCUCAUCCUGUCCUUUAUCUGGUCCACAAGUUGAGAGCAAAGAGCUCAGUACAGAGCUCUUGAUGUAAGGCUGUGCAUGGCAGACGGCCCGCAUAUCAGGUGUCUUGAGUGGUGGAUGACCUGUGACAAGAAGUUCUUGACAAAUUUUUUAGUGACUGUGUGGACAGUAAUUGGUUUGGAAGGAUGCUGUGGGAGAAGACACCACAAAUAUACAUUAUAUUCGAAUUACCUCUCAAUCAAGAGAAAAAAUAGAAGCAACAAAUAAAAAUAUUUGGCAACUAUGAAAUCAAAUUUCACUGAAAAAGAAACAAAAACAAUCAAUUUACAUAUGAAGAGGCACCCAACCUCAGUGAUGGUCGGGGAAAAUAAAUGACA